AGCGAACGCUGGCGGCAGGCUUAACACAUGCAAGUCGAGCGGGCGUAGCAAUACGUCAGCGGCAGACGGGUGAGUAACGCGUGGGAACAUACCUUUUGGUUCGGAACAACACAGGGAAACUUGUGCUAAUACCGGAUAAGCCCUUACGGGGAAAGAUUUAUCGCCGAAAGAUUGGCCCGCGUCUGAUUAGCUAGUUGGUGAGGUAAUGGCUCACCAAGGCGACGAUCAGUAGCUGGUCUGAGAGGAUGAUCAGCCACAUUGGGACUGAGACACGGCCCAAACUCCUACGGGAGGCAGCAGUGGGGAAUAUUGGACAAUGGGGCAACCCUGAUCCAGCCAUGCCGCGUGAGUGAUGAAGGCCCUAGGGUUGUAAAGCUCUUUUGUGCGGGAAGAUAAUGACGGUACCGCAAGAAUAAGCCCGGCUAACUCGUGCCAGCAGCCGCGGUAAU
Molecule: ribosomal RNA, 449 nt
Filed under: uncultured bacterium
Lineage: Bacteria
Description: bacterial SSU rRNA
Rfam family: Bacterial small subunit ribosomal RNA
Source: RNAcentral